GACGAACGCUGGCGGCGUGCUUAACACAUGCAAGUCGAACGAAGUGGCGAACGGGUGAGUAAUACGUGGGUAACCUGCCCUCCUUUUUGGGAUAAGCCAUGGCAACGGGGUCUAAUCCCGAAUAAAGGGGGAUGGGCUCGCGGCCUCUCAGCUUGUUGGUGGGGGGAUGGCCUACCAAGGCGACGAUCCCUAGCUGGUCUGAGAGGAUGACCGGCCACACUGGAACUGAGACACGGUCCAGACUCCUACGGGAGGCAGCAGUGGGGAAUAUUGCACAAGGGGCGAAAGCCGGAUGCAGCAAUGCCGCGUGUAUGAAGAAGGCUUUCGGGUGGUAAAGUACUUUCAGCGGGGAGGCGGUACUCGCAGAGGAAGCACCGGCUAACUACGUGCCAGCAGCCGCGGUAAUUC
This 408-nucleotide ribosomal RNA is filed under the name uncultured bacterium. RNAcentral describes it as "partial 16S ribosomal RNA". It matches the Rfam family "Bacterial small subunit ribosomal RNA", at positions 28 to 526 of the family's 1533-position model. The record is from RNAcentral.